This 526-nucleotide ribosomal RNA is filed under the name uncultured bacterium. RNAcentral describes it as "bacterial SSU rRNA". It matches the Rfam family "Bacterial small subunit ribosomal RNA", at positions 355 to 895 of the family's 1533-position model. The record is from RNAcentral.
UUAGGAAUUUUGGGCAAUGGGCGAAAGCCUGACCCAGCAACGCCGCGUGGGUGACGAAGGCCUUCGGGUUGUAAAGCCCUUUUCCAGGGGAAGAUAGUGACGGUACCCUGGGAAUAAGCCCCGGCUAACUACGUGCCAGCAGCCGCGGUAAUACGUAGGGGGCAAGCGUUGUCCGGAUUUAUUGGGCGUAAAGCGCUCGCAGGCGGCCUGGCCAAGUCGUGCGUGAAAUCUCCCGGCUCAACUGGGAGCGGUCGUGCGAUACUGGUCGGCUCGAGGCCGGUAGGGGGGAGUGGGAAUUCCGGGUGUAGUGGUGGAAUGCGUAGAUAUCCGAAGGAACACCAGUGGCGAAGGCGGCUCCCUGGACCGGUCCUGACGCUCAGGAGCGAAAGCGUGGGUAGCGAUCCGGAUUAGAUACCCGGGUAGUCCACGCCGUAAACGAUGAGCACUAGGUGUCGGGGGUAUCGACCCCCCCGGUGCCGCAGCUAACGCAAUAAGUGCUCCGCCUGGGGACUACGGCCGCAAGGCU